Peromyscus eremicus (cactus mouse) is the source of this 3472-nucleotide long non-coding RNA. RefSeq lists it as uncharacterized. NCBI's taxonomy places the organism in Eukaryota, Metazoa, Chordata, Mammalia, Rodentia, Cricetidae. The transcript has 2 exons. The record is from RefSeq and is a predicted model, not a curated record.
ACCUUACCUUAGUACAGCCGUGGGGGAGACGCAGCACCAAGCUCUCUCGGUUAGUUUCCCUUGGUUGUCAUGACAACUCACCAUGCACUGGGUGGUUGAGAACAGUAGCAGUUUAUCGCACCAGGCGUCCACAGACCAGAGACCGGACGUCAUCAGCGCAUCAGCAGGGUUAUGCCCCCUGGACGGACACGCAGCAGCUUUGUUCUGGGUUCCCCACAUGAGAAGUUUCUGGGGAUGUGGAAGUUUCGGUAAAAGGUCUUUAGACCCCAGGACAGGGGCGGGGGAGAGCUCUAAGCAAAUCGGAACGGUUAGUGAGCCCAUGGCAGAACAGAGCCUCUGUGACCGACAUUCCCAUGCCAAAGGUUCAGAAGUCAUGGCUAACUCUGCUCUGUGUUUGUCAUUUAAGGUGUGAGUUCUCAGCUGUUCUUGCGACCACACCGGCCACUUGUUGCCAUGCCGACUUUUUGUGAUCAUGGACUCUAACCCUCUGGAACCAUACGCUAAAGGAAACUUUUCUAGAGGCUAUCUUGGUCAUGGCAUUUUAUCACAGCCACAAAAGAGUAACUACUAUAACGGAUUUAUCUUAUUAUUGGGGUCUAUCCUGAGCUCUUCCCCCCAUUUGUAUUAUUGAAGGAAGCUGAGGCAGGGACCACUGGCUGGUUACAUUUUAGCUACCUGUCCAGUCUACUUUGGCAGAAAUGGUAGCAUUAGCAGUGACUGACAGAGCUAAGACAUCCUUGCUCCUUUUUCUGCCCACCCCAAGUCACCCAGCUCCAUCAACCUCCUCAGCUGGAGAGCGAAGAAAGGCUGAAAGGAAAGCUCCAGCUUUGAUCCUCUACAGAGGCGGGCCUCUUUCUCUGCCCACACGACUAAGGGUCACCGAGAAGCAGCCCGAGAGCUGACCUUAGCCAGGACCCACAGGCCUAGUGACCUGCUUUGAAGAGUUGCUCAAAGCCAAGGACAAUGAAAGGGGUCUGGGACUUGUUCUCUGUGCAGACGUCCGCAUGCCGCAGCUCUCGACCCUGUUCUAAUGACUUCUGUCUUGGGAGGACAAGAUAAUCCCACCAUCAAGCCAACUUUAUGAGCAGCUCGAUCUGCACAUCUUCUCCUCUGACCCGAGCCUCUGUUGGGAUGGGGCUGUCUCUGCUUGCAUUCUUAACCCUGUUUUAUUCCCCGUGCAGAAAAAGAUAAGCCUCCUUGUGGGAAAGCAGCUGCUUUGGAUCAGGUUAGAAGCAGUAAAUCUGGAAACAAACAUAACAUGAAUGAAAUGGUAUCAGGACACGAUGUGAUGAUGAAAAGCCCAGGCUUUUGGCUCUUGCCGCAGUCAGCUCGGUUUCAUGUUUCAUUCACACGGACUUCACACUGUUCUGUGAUUAAAAAUUUUCAUCGCCUGAUUCAGUAAUUCACAAAAGGUCCUUUCAUCAAUGCCACAUACAAUUUCGAUCAUCUUAAAAUUUCCAUGGAGACAGGGAAUGGAGCUCAGAGAUCAGUGUCACGUCUGCCACUUCUUCAAACACUUCAUGCAGAAAACCUUCCAGAGAUGUGAUUGUGGGAUCCUAGACCUGGAAAAUACCUGUCAUCGGGACGCGUCCAUCUGUCAAAGGAAUUCAUUCCAACAACAUUACUCGGUGCCUGGCAUUUAUUUUGUAGUUAGAAGGGGGAAAAAAAAUCAAUGUACAUUUAUGAGCUUUACAAAAAAAAAAUAGCUUAAAAUAAUGCAGCUACUCUUAAUUUACUUCCAUUUGGUAUUUAUAAAUCAGUUUAUUUAAAUAAUUUGAGAACUCCAAUUUGAUUUCUUUUGAUGGUAUGUUGUGUAAAGGAGGUUUCAGUUACAUUUGGAAAGCUGAUUUUUUUUUUUACUUUGAAAAAUGCAUGGAUAGCAUUAUUUUAAAUAUGCCUCAUAUUCUCAGUAAAAUUUCUUUAUGUACAAGUACUAUGAAACUGAAUUAUUUCUAGUAUGUAUUUUUUAAGAUAUUUUCUCACUUCAUCACCUUAUUAGUGUUUAGAGCAACAGCUUCAACCGCAAUGAAGCAUUUAGCACGGCAUUUAAUUGACACUUAGAAAAAUGAAAGCUGCUGAAAGUGUUGCCCUCUAAAAUCAGAAUUAACUCCAGAUUUCUGCAGCAAUCUUAUGCCGUAAAUGCUUUAAAAAUGCCAAAUUCUUCUGUGAGGAAAACUGAAAUCUCUUACCCUGUUGACCUUUGAGGUUUUUGGUUUUUUUUAAUGAUUCAUUUGAAAAAAAUAUCACAUCUUUGAAAUUCAAGCUGUUUUCUAAUGCUCGGUGUGAACCCGUCCUGAUUCAGUGAGAGCCGUGGACCUUAAGAGAGCAUAAAGAAAGUUCCUCAAAAGUGAAUGUGAGACAUCCCCGCACUCACUAAGUAUGGCGGAAAACUAAAACAGAAUUGGCAUGUGAGUCCACUGAGCGUUCAAGUCAUUUAAUUCUUAGGUAAUUUUUUAAAAAUGCAUCUUAUUUUUAUGAAAUGAUAAAACAUGACACAGUACUUUUAAAAUAUUAACUGUUAUUCCUUGAAUAAAUGACUUAUUUCCGGAUUUGUUUUUAAAAUAUUGCCAGGUGAACACUAGAUGGACAGAAGUAAUCUGGAAUAGUCUGGAGAAAAUGCUUUAUGCUCAUCCAAGCCAGUAGUGCACCUUGGCAAGAUUUUAGAAUUUGAAAUUUUCUUUUGAUUUUUUCCCCCCACUUACUUUUCUUUUUCUCACCUAUCCCCCUCCCCCAACACACACACACACACACACACACACACACACACACACACACACACACACACACCGAGACAGAGUCUUAAUAUGCAGCCAUUCAGGUUUGGAACUUACUGUGUAGACCAGGCUGACCUCAAACUCAUAAGAGAUCCUCCUGCCUCUGUCUCUUGGGUGCUGGGAUUAUAAGUAUCACCACCACGCCCAGCUCUUAAAAAAUAUUUUCAAUGUAAAUUUAAACUUCAUUGCUUUUAAAUGUAGUUUCAACUGCUGCUAGAUAUUUUAUAGUCAUUUUUUCAAUUCCUAAAAAUGAAAUUGAUACUCAAUCCUGAAACUGAUAAGUAUGUCAAAUUUUCAGGUUCUAUCAGGUUAAUGUAAACAAGACAGUUAAGCCAGAAGGCACAUGGAAUGGAAUAUCUUGAUAUGAGUUUGAGUUAAAUAUCAUAUUUCUCUUGAGAAAGACAGAUUUUUCUCGAAAGAGUUACCAUGGUUUUCUUCUUGUGACAUUAAAAUCGAAUGAAGUUGUUUUCCGUUUUAAAUGCAUUUUCUAAAAUUUGAAUAAUAAGUUAUAGUAUUGUAAGAAUUAUAAUUUUAAUACAAAUUAUAAGAUUUUAUUUACAUAAUAGAUGCAUUUGCUGAGUAGAAAUGUUGCUUUUUGUUUGCUUUUGACAGGAUCUCAUUGCCAUGACUGGCUUUGAAUUCAUGGAGAUGCACUUGACUUUACCUCACAAAUGUAGGAUUAAAGAUGUGUGCCUCCA